This 147-nucleotide small RNA is filed under the name Canis lupus dingo (dingo). RNAcentral describes it as "7SK RNA (ENSCAFG00020016458.1)". It matches the Rfam family "7SK RNA", at positions 124 to 273 of the family's 331-position model. From Rfam's summary of the family: 7SK was discovered as an abundant small nuclear RNA in the mid-70s but a possible function has only recently been suggested. Lineage: Eukaryota; Metazoa; Chordata; Mammalia; Carnivora; Canidae. The record is from RNAcentral.
GAAGCUGCGUGCUCGGUGGAAGACGACGACCAUCCCCGAUAGAGGAGGACCGUUCUUCGGUCAAGGGUAUACGAGUAGCUGCGCUCCCCUGCUAGAACCUCCAAACAAGCUCUCAAUGUCCAGUUUUCCAGCACCUUUUAGUUAAGA